AGACCCGAAACCCGGUGAUCUAGCCAUGGGCAGGUUGAAGGUUGGGUAACACUAACUGGAGGACCGAACCGACUAAUGUUGAAAAAUUAGCGGAUGACCUGUGGCUGGGGGUGAAAGGCCAAUCAAACCGGGAGAUAGCUGGUUCUCCCCGAAAGCUAUUUAGGUAGCGCCUCGUGAAUUCAUCUCCGGGGGUAGAGCACUGUUUCGGCUAGGGGGCCAUCCCGGCUUACCAACCCGAUGCAAACUGCGAAUACCGGAGAAUGUUAUCACGGGAGACACACGGCGGGUGCUAACGUCCGUCGUGAAGAGGGAAACAACCCAGACCGCCAGCUAAGGUCCCAAAGUCAUGGUUAAGUGGGAAACGAUGUGGGAAGGCCCAGACAGCCAGGAUGUUGGCUUAGAAGCAGCCAUCAUUUAAAGAAAGCGUAAUAGCUCACUGGUCGAGUCGGCCUGCGCGGAAGAUGUAACGGGGCUAAACCAUGCACCGAAGCUGCGGCAGCGAACGUAUCACCCAAGACAACUUUACGGAGUUGACGAUUGACGGAGCGAAGCGACGUCAAAGCGUUCAUUAAAGUCGAGUUGGCUUAGGGAUACGUUCGUUGGGUAGGGGAGCGUUCUGUAAGCCUGUGAAGGUGUGUCGUGAGGCAUGCUGGAGGUAUCAGAAGUGCGAAUGCUGACAUAAGUAACGAUAAAGCGGGUGAAAAGCCCGCUCGCCGGAAGACCAAGGGUUCCUGUCCAACGUUAAUCGGGGCAGGGUGAGUCGACCCCUAAGGCGAGGCCGAAAGGCGUAGUCGAUGGGAAACGGGUUAAUAUUCCCGUACUUGGUGUUACUGCGAAGGGGGGACGGAGAAGGCUAUGUUGGCCGGGCGACGGUUGUCCCGGUUUAAGGGUGUAGGUGUGUGUUCCAGGUAAAUCCGGUUCACUUUAACACUGAGGCGUGACGACGAGGCACUACGGUGCUGAAGCAACAAAUGCCCUGCUUCCAGGAAAAGCCUCUAAGCAUCAGGUAACACGAAAUCGUACCCCAAACCGACACAGGUGGUCAGGUAGAGAAUACCAAGGCGCUUGAGAGAACUCGGGUGAAGGAACUAGGCAAAAUGGUGCCGUAACUUCGGGAGAAGGCACGCUGACACGUAGGUGAAGUGAUUUACUCAUGGAGCUGAAGUCAGUCGAAGAUACCAGCUGGCUGCAACUGUUUAUUAAAAACACAGCACUGUGCAAACACGAGAGUGGACGUAUACGGUGUGACGCCUGCCCGGUGCCGGAAGGUUAAUUGAUGGGGUCAGCGUAAGCGAAGCUCCUGAUCGAAGCCCCGGUAAACGGCGGCCGUAACUAUAACGGUCCUAAGGUAGCGAAAUUCCUUGUCGGGUAAGUUCCGACCUGCACGAAUGGCGUAAUGAUGGCCAGGCUGUCUCCACCCGAGACUCAGUGAAAUUGAACUCGCUGUGAAGAUGCAGUGUACCCGCGGCAAGACGGAAAGACCCCGUGAACCUUUACUAUAGCUUGACACUGAACAUUGAGCCUUGAUGUGUAGGAUAGGUGGGAGGCUUUGAAGUGUGGACGCCAGUCUGCAUGGAGCCGACCUUGAAAUACCACCCUUUAAUGUUU
Molecule: ribosomal RNA, 1608 nt
Filed under: Salmonella enterica subsp. enterica serovar Typhimurium
Lineage: Bacteria; Pseudomonadati; Pseudomonadota; Gammaproteobacteria; Enterobacterales; Enterobacteriaceae
Description: partial 23S ribosomal RNA
Rfam family: Bacterial large subunit ribosomal RNA
Source: RNAcentral